Molecule: long non-coding RNA, 1845 nt
Filed under: Homo sapiens (human)
Lineage: Eukaryota; Metazoa; Chordata; Mammalia; Primates; Hominidae
Description: long non-coding RNA NONHSAT184655.1
Source: RNAcentral
GGAGCGCGGCGGUGAUUUUGUGCCAGGGAUUCCCAGAGACGCGCUGAAAGGCUGGCAGGGCUUAGGAAGCUGGGGGGUUAGGGACACACAUUCAAGCCCCCACCCCCGGGAGGGGAAGGGGGCUGGAGGCGAGGCUUGAGGGCGGCGGAGGAAUGGUGUCUGCUCGGGGGGAAGGGGCGAGCCCUGCCUGUUGGUACUGAGGGGCUGCGGGCAGUGGAGGCUCCGCGGGUCGAAAGCGGCUCCAUGCCCAUCGGUGGGUGGAACGUGUAGAGGUCGGAACGCCGAGGUCGAGUCUGGUGGCGCCUCGGUAUCCUUAACGUGGUCUCUGUUUAACGUAUUUCAUUUAGCCCCCGUUGGGAUUGAUUCAUUGGGAGCAGUUUCGCUGGUCUGGAUCCUCCAGGAGCUGGACAACCUUGACGGGCUUUUUGUCUUGGGUUCCAGCCCCCUUUCCCUUCCUCCUCCUCCAGAUGCCUUUUCUCUGCCCCUCCUCGCCCGGUACAGACAUUUCCAGCGCAGGCUGCUGCUCGUGGUGUCCGUCGUCGAAGCCACUUCUUGGGAUUUCGGCUCGUUUCACUCUGGGGUGUUUUUUGAGGAGGGAGAGUGCCCCCCUCCUCCACGAUGGGAUUUUUCUCCCUUGCCGAAAUGGACUUUCAUUGAUUUCUACUUACUUCCACGUUUAGUGACCAAUUCCCUAGGCGUAUUUUUGUGGUAGUUCCUUUUUUCAAAUACAUACUCUGUAAAAUGGAGAACGAAAUUUUUACUCCCCUUCUGGAGCAGUUCAUGACCAGCCCUUUGGUCACUUGGGUUAAAACGUUUGGACCUCUGGCCGCAGGAAAUGGGACCAACCUUGAUGAAUAUGUGGCUUUGGUGGAUGGGGUAUUCUUGAACCAGGUCAUGCUCCAAAUUAAUCCUAAAUUGGAGAGUCAGAGAGUAAAUAAAAAAGUCAAUAAUGAUGCCUCACUUAGAAUGCACAAUCUAUCCAUUUUGGUGAGACAGAUAAAAUUUUAUUACCAGGAGACUUUGCAGCAAUUGAUCAUGAUGUCGUUGCCAAAUGUCUUAAUCAUUGGCAAAAAUCCCUUUUCUGAACAAGGCACAGAAGAAGUUAAAAAACUGCUUUUACUUUUAUUGGGUUGUGCAGUUCAGUGUCAGAAAAAAGAGGAAUUUAUUGAAAGAAUUCAAGGUUUAGAUUUUGAUACAAAAGCAGCGGUUGCCGCACAUAUUCAAGAGGUAAUGACAUAUAUACAAUUUUACGUGCUAUUUAUGAAGCUUGUGGUGUGUUUAUUUGUCUAUCUCCUAAAAUACUUCAAAGUCAUAGAAUAAGCAAGAACAAAUCAACAAAUAUAGAUGGACCCUGCUUUUAUACAAAUUGUCUUCUCUUUAGAGAUAGUUUCUUACACUUGGCACACUGUUAACUACAAAUAUACUCUUGCCUUUAUUCUAUAGUGACAUAGGCAGAAAGUGUUAUUUGAGGAAUGAGGUAUAUGUCUUUGUUAGAAUGGAUUACAAAGCAGUAAAUGGAAACAGCAGAAAGUGGAACACUGCUUGUAAUUCAAAACGAUAGUGAGGUAAGAUGACAAGCUUAGUAUUAUUCCAUUGAUUUUCUUUUGAAAGAAUAGAUGCAUAAUUUUUAUUAAAGAUAUUACUUGAAUUAUAAACACAUUAAUGAUUUGUAGCAUUCAUAUAAAAACUUAAGUCUAGGGCAUAUUGUGCAGUGUCAAAUAAUUGAAAUUAAAAUUUGUUAAGAUUCAUUUUAAAAGCUGCUGUUUCUAUGUCUGUCUAUUCUUGGGCUUUUAAUCUUAUAAAGACACUUUAGAAUUAGUAUGUUAAAUUUUACAUGUUGAUUAG